GAGUUUGAUCCUGGCUCAGGACGAACGCUGGCGGCGUGCUUAACACAAUGCAAGUCGAACGGUGAAGCCCUUCGGGGGUGGAUCAGUGGCGAACGGGUGAGUAACACGUGAGCAACCUACCCUUGACUCUGGGAUAACUCCGGGAAACCGGAGCUAAUACCGGAUACGACACGCGAAGGCAUCUUCUGCGUGUGGAAAGAUUUAUCGGUCAAGGAUGGGCUCGCGGCCUAUCAGCUUGUUGGUGGGGUAAUGGCCUACCAAGGCGACGACGGGUAGCCGGCCUGAGAGGGCGACCGGCCACACUGGGACUGAGACACGGCCCAGACUCCUACGGGAGGCAGCAGUGGGGAUAUUGCGCAAUGGGCGAAAGCCUGACGCAGCGACGCCGCGUGAGGGAUGAAGGCCUU
Molecule: ribosomal RNA, 407 nt
Filed under: uncultured bacterium
Lineage: Bacteria
Description: bacterial SSU rRNA
Rfam family: Bacterial small subunit ribosomal RNA
Source: RNAcentral